RNAcentral lists this long non-coding RNA (717 nucleotides) under Trifolium pratense (red clover). RNAcentral's name for it is "long non-coding RNA (TPRA_LNC006055)". The record is from RNAcentral. Lineage: Eukaryota; Viridiplantae; Streptophyta; Magnoliopsida; Fabales; Fabaceae.
UUUAGUACCAUAAUUGAGGGUGUAAUUCUUGCCCGAUAUCUACAGUGCAAUAUUUAUCGGUAUCAGUAGAGAACUGGGCUGUUUUAUCCUGGAGANNNNNNNNNNNNNNNUGCACAAUUUUGGGCAGUGCCGCGAAACGUCUUAAAGAAAGCGUAUUCACCCGCGACUCAGUCCAGUAAUCUCUUCGGUGGCUGAAAAUUAUUUUUUUAACGAUUUUGAACCUCGGAAACAACAGUAAAUAUUGUAAUUGCAUCACGAGUGUCAAUCUCAAGGUCAAUGCGGUGAGAUUGAAACUCCAAUGCUUCCGUAAAGAAAGUGUGAGAGGAGUUGUUGGAACAUUGUUGAACAAGUUAGCAACUUAGCUACUUGUAUGAUGAACUUGGCAUAGAUGUAAACACAAGUAAAAGAACUAAAGGUGUGAAUUUGAAAAAGUUCACAUUUAAGUCCCACAUUGGAUGGGUCACUACCUUUAGUAGUGUUUAUAUACCACAAAGUGGCAACCAAGGGUGUGCCCUUGGGGUACCCACUUUUGUAAGAAAGGGAGACCGCACACAAUGUCGAAUACUCAGAAGUGAAAAAAUUAAUUAAAAAAUUAAUUUUCACUAAGUGUGCUUACCGUUUCAAAUGCGCACAUGUUUUGUGUGCUGAAUGUCAAGUCAAACGGAAUUGUUACCGUUAUUAUUUUGAACUCAGUCAUAACUGAGAUUCCUGAAAUCA